UGGAAGCUCCUUUGGUCGAGUGGUGUUGAGUAAGGGUUUCGUAAUGCUUUUACACCAGGAGGUUUGGGGUUCGAACCCAAAUAGCGUGAUUUAUUAAUAUAUCUGCAGAUUUAUUAAUAUAUCUGCAGAUUAAUAGAGACAAGUUUACAUGAGAUCUCCAGUGAUGCGCAAUUAGAGCCAUUCGCCGUGAUUCUAGCUAUUGAAGAAGAAGAUGGUGUCCAAGAUCAGCAUGAAGAAAUAGGCGUUCAAGAUCAGCAAAGAAGUGUUGUCAAUAGUGAAUGUAAUAGGGUCGGAAGGAAUUAUCCAUGGUAGAUUAUCUUUGUAACAAUUCUCACAGUUUGCAAUAAUUAAUAAAUCUAAAGACGAUAAAAAAAAGAUUAUAUAAAUAUAUUGGAGAGAGAUUUGAUUUAUUAGAGAGAGAUUUUUAUUACAAAAUGUACUUCAAAAAUGUAUAGAUAGAUACACAUACCUGUAAUUUAUUUGCUUGAUGUAUAUACAAAUAAUUAUUUU
This 510-nucleotide long non-coding RNA is filed under the name Capsella rubella. Its description in RNAcentral is "long non-coding RNA (CRUB_LNC000813)". Lineage: Eukaryota; Viridiplantae; Streptophyta; Magnoliopsida; Brassicales; Brassicaceae. The record is from RNAcentral.